UGACGUAGAAGAUGCAGCAAAAUGAAAUCGGAUAUUCGUUCUGAACCCGGGAGCAUUGUUGACCGUCGAUCUUCUCUUAUCCGAACAUCUUUCCAUCAAUCAACAACCCUGCUGUGCAGUAGUGUAGAUUGGAAGAGUCGCAGAGGAGAUGAAUUGAGAAAAAGCGGUGAGGAAGAAGAUUCUCGUCCGGUUCCUAACCAGAUUAUUAGAAAGAGGGUGAGCUUUUACUCCUUCCUUUCCCUGUGACCCAUUCGGUUUGAAGCAAUAACCAAAGAAUAAUGAUGGAAGCUGGGGUUGAAAUUGCCGAUAGAUCUAAGCUGGCUGAAACAAAGGUAGUGGAAGAUGGGGUUUCUCAGUCGAGAGUAGGAGAGAGGGAUCGUCACGGGUUCCAUCGACCCAAGGAUUCUGAAGGGGAUGAUGUUUUUGAGGAAGCGGUGGAUGAGCAUCUUGAUGACCUCCAUGCCGUAUAUGAGACCCCAAGGGCUGGGUUGGGGCAAGUUUCUGUUAAUGGAGAUCAGAGUGUAGAGAGGGCUCGAGUUUUUUAUCCUUUUCAAGCUAAUGAAAGCUCUGAUGGAGGCCAUGAGGCUGACAAUUAUGAAGAGCCAAUUGACCUUCCUAGUGAGGCUCGGACUUGGAGCCCCGGAGAGGAAGAAUUGGUCGUUACCAAAAAGAUAGAAGAUUUGGUUGUGCUGGAGCUUCUUGAUGAUGUUAAGCUUGCUGCUGAUAUGGAAGAUAACCAGAUGGAAUUUGUAUCAGAAAAAUCUGUUAGGUUAGAGGAUGCUGGCUUGCCUAAUAAUGCUGAAACAGAUGUGGGUGAGGUGUCUUCUGCUGCUGCUGACAAUAACGGUGGAGAAAAUAAAUCAUUGAUGAAUCAGGAAGAGGUGGAUGGGAGGACUGUAGCACUUCUCGUGAAGCCCCAUACUGAAAUUUUGGCCAAGUUGGAGGAAACCCCUGUUGUUCAGGAAAAUGGUGAUGUUAUCCAUAUGGAAUCAGAUGGGGUUGAGUCUUCGCAACUAAGUGAUUCUAAUGAGCUUCCUGUGCAUCAAGACAAUGAACACAAAGGCAAGCAACCAGAGGACUCUUCAACUAACCAGUUAAUUUUUCUGAAAGAUGAGGUGGAGGGUCAACAAUCAGUAAUCCCAGUUCCUGUAGAAGCUUGCAAGGAUGAGGUGAACAGUCCAGAACCGGUAAUCCCAGCUCCUAUAGAAGCUUGCAAGGAUGAAGUGGAUGGUCCAGAACCAGUAAUCCCAGCUCCUAUAGAAGCUUGUAAGGAUGAGGUGGACAGUCCAGAAUCAGUUACUCCAGAACUACCAGGAGCUUCUACUUUUCAAAUUAAUGAGAAGAUUAACACUUACACUGCUGAAUCAGAUGAGACAGCUUCUCAAGAUUCUGAGCCUCAGUCUGUUGAUAGUAUUGAAAACUAUGACAACCCUGAAGAAGAGCCUGAGGAGCAGGAAACAAAAGAUCAGGGAGAGGAACAGUGGUUGGGAGGGAACAUAGAACCAGAAAUCCAGCCCGCAGUAGAUGUUAGUUCCAGUAACUCCUCGUCUCCUCCUCUGCCUGCUCCUGCUCGUCCAGCAGGUCUUGGAGGUGCUGCCCCAUUCCUGGAACCUGCUCCGCGUGCAAUACAACAAUCUCGGGUGAAUGGAUCUGUACCACAGCGUCAAGCACAGCUUGUUGAAGACCCCAUGAAUGGUGAGACUGAGGAGAAUGAUGAGACUCGUGAAAAACUACAGAUGAUCCGAGUGAAAUUUUUACGACUUGCUUACAGGCUUGGGCAGACUCCUCAUAAUGUUGUUGUAGCUCAGGUUCUAUACAGGCUAGGACUAGCUGAACAGCUUCGAGGAAGAAACACUAGUCGGGCAGGUGCUUUUAGUUUUGACCGGGCAAGUGCUAUGGCAGAGCAGCUUGAGGCAGCUGGGCAGGAACCUCUUGACUUCUCAUGCACCAUUAUGGUUCUUGGAAAGACUGGAGUUGGUAAAAGUGCGACUAUCAAUUCUAUAUUUGAUGAGGUAAAGUUCAAAACUGAUGCAUUCCAAAUGAGCACAAAGAAGGUCCAGGAUGUGGUAGGAACAGUUCAAGGGAUCAAGGUUAGGGUGAUUGAUACACCGGGUCUCUUACCUUCUUGGUCAGAUCAACGGCACAAUGAGAAGAUCCUGCAUUCUGUCAAGUGUUUCAUCAAGAAGAGCCCUCCAGAUAUUGUUUUGUAUCUUGACAGGUUAGAUAUGCAAAGCAGGGACUUUGGUGAUAUGCCAUUGUUGCGUACAAUCACAGAGAUAUUUGGACCGUCUAUUUGGUUUAAUGCAAUUGUGGUUCUGACCCAUGCAGCAUCUGCUCCGCCUGAUGGUCCAAAUGGUACUGCAUCAAGUUAUGAAAUGUUUGUUACUCAGCGUUCCCAUGUGGUCCAGCAAGCAAUUCGCCAGGCAGCAGGGGACAUGCGUCUUAUGAAUCCUGUUUCAUUAGUGGAGAAUCACUCUGCCUGUAGAACGAACAGGGCAGGGCAGAGAGUUUUACCAAACGGGCAGGUUUGGAAACCUCAUCUACUACUGCUAUCCUUUGCUUCAAAGAUUUUAGCUGAGGCAAACACACUUUUAAAGCUACAAGAUGGUCCACCUGGAAAGCCUUUUGCAACACGUCCACGGGUACUCCUAUUGCCGCACCUUUUAUCAUCUCUUCUUCAAUCAAGGCCCCAGUUGAAACUGCCAGAAGAACAGUUUGGUGAUGAUGAUGAUGAUAUGUUGGAUGAGGACUUGGAUGAGGAAACAGACUCAGAUGAAGAAGAGUCAGAUUAUGAUGAAUUGCCACCAUUUAAAUGUCUGACCAAGGCUCAACUGGCAGAGUUGAGUAAAGCCCAAAAGAAGGCAUAUCUUGAUGAACUAGAAUACAGGGAAAAGCUUUUUAUGAAAAAGCAGUUGAAGGAGGAGAGAAAGCAGCGGAAACUAUUGAAGAAAAUGGCUGCAGCUGCUAAGGAUUUGCCAGAUGACUAUAAUGAGAACACAGAAGAAGAAAGUGGUGGUGCUGCAUCUGUGCCGGUUCCCAUGCCAGAUCUAGCUUUGCCUACUUCGUUUGGUUCAGACAAUCCCACUCACCGAUACCGCCACCUGGAUUCCUCCAACCAAUGGCUUGUGAGGCCCGUUUUAGAAACUCAUGGUUGGGAUCAUGAUGUUGGUUAUGAGGGUAUAAAUGUGGAAAGAUUAUUUGUGGUUAAAGAUAAGAUACCUUUGUCCUUUUCUGGUCAGGUUACAAAGGAUAAAAAGGAGUCCAAUCUCCAAAUGGAGCUAGCCAGUUCCAUCAAGCAUGGUGAAGGUAAGGCAACUUCCUUGGGUUUUGACAUGCAGACUGUUGGAAAGGACCUGCUUUAUACUUUACGCGGUGAAACAAGAUUUAGCAACUUUAGACACAAUAAAAUGGCAUCUGGACUUUCAGUUACUCUUUUGGGUGAUGCCUUAACAGCUGGACUGAAGCUUGAAGACAAAUUGAUUGUUAAUAAAAGGUUCCGGUUGGUUAUGACUGGGGGUGCUAUGACUGGUCGUGGUGAUGUAGCAUAUGGUGGCAGUCUAGAAGCCACCUUGAGAGAUAGGGAUUAUCCUCUUGGUCGCACUCUAUCAAUUCUUGGGCUCUCUAUCAUGGAUUGGCAUGGAGAUCUUGCAAUUGGGUGUAAUGUACAAUCUCAGUUCCCUAUAGGCCAGUCUACAAACAUGAUUGCUCGGGCCAAUUUGAACAACAAGGGGGCUGGCCAAGUCAGUAUUCGUUUGAAUAGCUCAGAACAGCUCCAAAUUGCUUUGAUUGCCCUUGUGCCCCUAUUCAAAAAGCUUCUUGGUUAUUCUCAACAAAUGCAGUUUGGACAAUGAGGAACAACAUAUAUUAGCAGCUAUGCGGUAUUAGGAAAUAACUUCUGCAAUGACAUCUCUUAGUGCUUAGCAUCAAAUAGGAGCUCUAGCUACAAAUCUGGACAACCCCUGGAGAACCUUUAAGAGGGCAGCAACCAAUAAGUAAGAAUACAGACUUUGUAUCAAACAAUAAGGAGGUUUACAACCUGUAAUCCAAUCUGAAACAGUCUCCAAGCACCAAUUAACAAUUUAAAAUGGUUUUCAGGCAUCAGCCAACCAUGGAACAUUCAGGUAAUUAUGGAUUUCAAAUGUAAUCAAUUCUUAUCAGGUCAGACCCAGUUAGCCCAAUUAAUAAUCAGUAAAUUCUGGGUCUGGUUUAUAGACCCUAUACGGUCUGGUUUGGGACUGGAUCUACACAAUUUUCGUAUCAGUUCGACAUGGUCCACCCUGUCCCAGACCAUACCCAACUCAUUGAAAGCUCUGUUCAAAAGUUGAUGGCUUGGUUGAGUUGUACUAGGCCAUAUUGGUUGGUUGAAAUGUACUAGGCCAUGUUGGUUUCUAAGGGGUUCAUCAAAUUUAUGGUAUAGAUUAUGAAAAUGCUUACUUUCUAUUAGUUAUUAAGGUGAUCCUUGUGAAUAAAUUUGGUGUUUUACAUCACUUGGAUAUAAAAUAUUUUUUGCAUGAGGCCCCAAGGAAGAAGGAAGUUUACUCGACCCCUUGCUUUUAAUUUCUAAUGAGGAAAGAAAUGUGUAGGCUCAAAAGUUUGGCUUUGCGAGGAGACAGGCAAACCAAAUUUAUUUUGUAUUGGAUGUUUAUGUUGGUGACAUGUUAUUUCUUC
This is a non-coding RNA of Nelumbo nucifera (sacred lotus), 4668 nucleotides long. The record is from RefSeq and is a predicted model, not a curated record. NCBI's taxonomy places the organism in Eukaryota, Viridiplantae, Streptophyta, Magnoliopsida, Proteales, Nelumbonaceae.